AUCGUGGUGUGGAUGAUGCAAAUCUACUGUCAAAAAAAAGCUGCAAUGGCUCUUUCAAGGAUGUCCGAGCCCAAAAUUCCACCAAUGUUGCUGAGUUUUGUUCUUGAAACAGGAUAGCCGGCAUGCAACACGCCUUGAUCUCUGCGUACAUUAGUCAUGGAUUUGCUUGUGUUAAUUGCAUCAUCAGUUUCGCUCUUAAGAGAUGUCUUAUCCUACUUAAUGUAGAUUACAUAUUGCUUCGAGGUCCCUUGUUACUCUGGGCAUUGAGUAUAUAGCGAUGGUUGCAUCCUGCUCCUAUGUUGGCAUGCUGUUUUUUCCAGUCAUGCUGGUUCACAGUGGUCUACCGGAGAUCGGGUGGGGCGGUGGGAGAACUACAUGGCAGAUGAGAUCCAUCAAGUAUUCAACUUUCAAUUUUCGUGGGACAUGGCAUGCAGGUAUCCAGGUACUGGCCCUCAGAAAUCAGGACUGAUUUGCUUUGGUUCGAUGUGGAUCCGACUUGAAGGUUGGUGGGCAAACAGAAAUCCAGCUGCGACUCGCGGAUUGGAAUAGUGAAUAAAGCCGAUAGAAACAUUUCCAAUGACAUUAACAAACCUGGUGGGCAUUAAGAUUUACAGGAGUGCAAAAAUUGCUUCGCGAGAAACUAUGAUUUUUAUCAGGUUCCGACUUUGACCAGGCUAGUGAUUAGUCUGGCUAAUCAUUCUGGAAAGAUAGAGACCUGACCGCCAGCAGGAUAGUUUCCCCUUGUUGGCAGAAUCUGUUUUACAGGUGAAUGUUCUAGGUAAUUUAGCACGGCUUAGGAUGGGUGUUUAGUUUAACAUUAGAGGCUUUAGCAUAAUAGCAAAUUCACAGUCUA
Phoenix dactylifera (date palm) is the source of this 853-nucleotide non-coding RNA. The record is from RefSeq and is a predicted model, not a curated record. Lineage: Eukaryota; Viridiplantae; Streptophyta; Magnoliopsida; Arecales; Arecaceae.